This is a long non-coding RNA of Diospyros lotus (date-plum), 652 nucleotides long. RefSeq lists it as uncharacterized. Lineage: Eukaryota; Viridiplantae; Streptophyta; Magnoliopsida; Ericales; Ebenaceae. The record is from RefSeq and is a predicted model, not a curated record. The transcript is spliced from 2 exons.
GAGAUCACUGACCACUUUAUUUUGGAGAUGGUUCCCUCCCUCUUUUACCAACUGCUUUUUGCUUUGGCCAUGCAAUCAUAUCAUACUUUGUCUUCCACCACCCACCAUGGCUGGCUGACCUCCUUAAAUACACACAGACAGAAGACCAGACCCCUCCUUCCCCACAGACACCAUGGAAGAUCUUCCAGAAGCUCAGAUGGAAGCCAUUUUCAUCUCUGUCAUGACUGAGGGAUGAUUUUAGUUUACUACCAAAAUGUUUGGCAACUCACCAUCACUUGACGUCUCCUUGGUGGUGGCACAAUGCUGAGUGGGCAGGUCCGCUGCAAUGCGGAAGUUUUGCACCAGUACUGCAAAUGGAGGUCUUAACUGCUUAUUUGUUGUCCCAGAUUCCCUUGGUAUUCUUUCCCCACGGUUGCAAGUUUCUGUGAGAUCACAGAUUUGGGUCCUCCUAUAUCAUGGAAAUAGAGAGUUAUUUCUGAAACACUUCAAUCUUAUUAUAUUCACCUCUAAAUGGAGGGAUGCCCCAUUAAUUGUACCUCAUUUUCUUCAUGGGUGAUGCAUUUUCUGAUAUUCCUGAUGCAUUGAACCCAUUCCGAAAGAGAACUCUUUUGUUUUUUGGAUAAAUGUAUGAAGUAUUGUUCUCUUUUGCCAA